Molecule: unclassified non-coding RNA, 307 nt
Organism: Mesocricetus auratus (golden hamster)
Lineage: Eukaryota; Metazoa; Chordata; Mammalia; Rodentia; Cricetidae
Gene: 7SK
Rfam family: 7SK RNA
About the family: 7SK was discovered as an abundant small nuclear RNA in the mid-70s but a possible function has only recently been suggested. Two independent studies have found that 7SK RNA binds the CDK9/cyclin T complex (known as elongation factor P-TEFb).
Source: Ensembl
GGAUGUGAAGGCCAUCUGUCUGUAGCAUGCUACACCAUUGAUCUCCAGGGUUGAUUUGGCUGAUCUGGUUAUUGAGAAGGAUGUCUUCUUCAUCCCUCAAAGCUCCAUGUGCAACCCUCCUGAUGCACUGAGCUCAGCUAAAGAGGACAACCUUCUCCACAUAGAGGAAGACCAGUCUUCUGUCAAAGGUAUAAGAGCAGCUGCAUCUCCCCUUCCUACUAGAACCUCCAAACAAGCUCUCAUUUGUAUGAGAUAAACUUUGCAAACUUAUUUAAUUGAUACAUGAUAAUUGUACAUAUGUAUGGGU